GUGAGGAAUAUUGGUCAAUGGGCGAGAGCCUGAACCAGCCAAGUCGCGUGAAGGAAGAAGGAUCUAUGGUUCGUAAACUUCUUUUGCAGGGGAAUAAAGUGCAGGACGUGUCCUGUUUUGUAUGUACCCUGAGAAUAAGGAUCGGCUAACUCCGUGCCAGCAGCCGCGGUAAUACGGAGGAUGCGAGCGUUAUCCGGAUUUAUUGGGUUUAAAGGGUGCGUAGGCGGACUAAUUAGUCAGCGGUGAAAUUUUGCGGCUCAACCGUAAAACUGCCGUUGAAACUGUCGGACUUGAGUGUAAAUGAGGUAGGCGGAAUGCGUGGUGUAGCGGUGAAAUGCAUAGAUAUCACGCAGAACUCCGAUUGCGAAGGCAGCUUACUAAGCUACAACUGACACUGAAGCACGAAAGCGUGGGGAUCAAACAGGAUUAGAAACCCCGGUAGUCC
Molecule: ribosomal RNA, 445 nt
Filed under: uncultured bacterium
Lineage: Bacteria
Description: partial 16S ribosomal RNA
Rfam family: Bacterial small subunit ribosomal RNA
Source: RNAcentral